This 497-nucleotide ribosomal RNA is filed under the name uncultured bacterium. RNAcentral's name for it is "partial 16S ribosomal RNA". It matches the Rfam family "Bacterial small subunit ribosomal RNA", at positions 28 to 507 of the family's 1533-position model. The record is from RNAcentral.
GAUGAACGCUGGCGGCGUGCCUAAUACAUGCAAGUCGAGCGAACAGACGAGGAGCUUGUUCCUCUGACGUUAGCGGCGGACGGGUGAGUAACACGUGGAUAAUCUACCUAUAAGAGUGGGAUAACUUCGGGAAACGGGAGCUAAUACCGGAUAAUAUCUUGAACCACAUGGUUCAAUAGUGAAAGACGGUUUUGCUGUCACUUAUAGAUGGAUCCCCGCCGCAUGAGCUAGUUGUUAAGUAAACGGCCUACCAAGGCAACGAUGCGUAUCCGACCUGAGAGGGUGAUCGGCCACACGGGAACUGGAACACGGUCCAGACUCCUACGGGAGGCACCAGUAGGGAAUCUUCGGCAGUGGGCGAAAGCCUGACGGAGCAACGCGGCGUGAGUGAUGAAGGUCUUCGGAUCGUAAAACUCGGUUAUUGGGGAAGAACAAAUGUGUAAGGAACUGUGCACGUAUUGACGGUAACUAAUCAGAAAGCCACGGCUAACUACGUG